Molecule: ribosomal RNA, 468 nt
Filed under: uncultured bacterium
Lineage: Bacteria
Description: partial 16S ribosomal RNA
Rfam family: Bacterial small subunit ribosomal RNA
Source: RNAcentral
GACGAACGCUGGCGGCGGGCUUAACACAUGCAAGUCGAACGGAAAGGCCCUGCUUUUGUGGGGUGCUCGAGUGGCGAACGGGUGAGUAACACGUGAGUAACCUGCCCUUGACUUUGGGAUAACUUCAGGAAACUGGGGCUUAUACCGGAUAGGAGCUCCUGCUGCAUGGUGUGGGUUGGAUAGUUUCGGCGGUUGGGGUUGUACUCGCGGCUUAUCAGCUUGUUGGUGGGGUAGUGGCUUACCAAGGCUUUGACGGGUAGCCCGCCUGAGAGGGUGACCGGCCACAUUGGGACUGAGAUACGGCACAGACUCCUACGGGAGGCAGCAGUGGGGAAUAUUGCACAAUGGGCGGAAGCCUGAUGCAGCAACGCCGCGUGCGGGAUGACGGCCUGCGGGUUGUAAACCGCUUUCGCCUUUGACGAAGCGUGAGUGACGGUAAUGGGUAAAGAAGCACCGGCUAACUACGUG